CAUGACCCCCUUCAUAUCAGUUCACAAGGACACAUCGAGCACAAGUGUGUGAAUGAGACUGUGAGGUAGAUGAAUGGAAAUCCAGAAUCUGUAGAUAGAUCCAAGGGAUGAGAUAUAUUUUGUGUAAGAUCUAAAGAGUCCUGACAUCUGGGUUUCAUUCCGAGAGAAAUGGGUGUGGAGUGCUGCGAUGUAUUUUAUUGUCUUUGGCAAGGACAGCACAUAAGCAGAAACAGCACACCAAGGUGUUUAGCUACCAGUUUCCAGUAUUAAAUUUUUGUAAUAUAAAUGACAAAGGAGAUGAUAAAGAACCAAUAGAUUAUUGAUAAAUAAAAAAUUAGUAAUAAUAUGAAUUUUUGUUUCUAUGAGUUCUAAAUAGCCCUAUACAGUAUUCAUUUUCAAUGAGGAAUAUUUAUUGUAUUAAAGUGCAUUUUACUUAACGGUUUAGAUCAUCAUUUUGGACUAUUUCUCGAUGCUUUAAUAUAUAUUAAUUUAUAAUUAUCCUGAUAUUUUUGUACAUUUUCAAACUUUAAAAAAAAUCAGGAUUUUUUUUUUGGCAAUAGUACUAACAUAGGAUGCUAUUUUGUUAUCUCGGGAUAACUAUAUGUUGUUCUGUUGGCUGACCUUGACAUCUGACCACCGAUGUCACGGAACUGUGGCCUCCUUCAGGACACUUGCAGAACGCUUGCAAAGUCUCAGAGUAGAAACAGCAAGUGUAUCCAUCUGCCACACGUCCUCACAGGAAGAAUGAACUUAUCUGUAGCAGUGCCCAGUAAGAAGUAGAUGUUUGACAAAUUAAUUAAUACAACAUUUCCCUGUCAUGCCUUGGGGGAGGGUGGGAGAAGAAAGACUGUUAUGUCAAAAAUUGUAAUUUCUCUCCAAACAAUAAAACUCCUUUAUUACCUUACUGCUCCCACGUUAACCUGUUUGCUGCUAAAUUCCAAUGUAGAGUUGGUAAUGACAUAGUGGACUGUGCUCUUCUUUCAUUAAAAUCCCAGGGUCCCCUGUGAAGAAGCAGAUGUUUCUUUAAAAAGGAAAAACACCUUUAACAAUGAAAAUUAGAUGUACGUGUAUAAUUCGGUCUGCUUUGUCUUUCUCCAGACGAAUAUCAGUUACACUGCUGUUUGUAAAUUAAACGAUGUCUACUUCAUUAACAGUAUGGCCGCCUUCUUAGCAACUGCAGGUGUCCCUUUAUGAACUUGAAACUGAUAUGAAAUGAGCAGCAAAGGCAACUUAUGCCUUUAUGUUACCAGAAACUGCACUGAAAUUAAUAUAUUGUCACAUCUAGAGGACUCACAAAAGAGAUAGAUAGAAUAACGUAUUCUUUGCUAGGAUAAAUCCAUAUUACAUAAAAUUAUCCCACUAAAAAAGAAGAAGAUGAAAUAGAGCUAACACAGAGAAUCUUCUUUGAGUCUCACUGCCUUAGCUGGAACUUGCUUGCAAUCCAGAACUGGCAACAUUCAGAUCAAGGAAGUGCCAUCGGACAGAGUAUUAAUACUUGGCUUCCACUAUAUGAGUGAUUGUUCUUUUCUUAAUAAGACAAUUGUGCAUACACACAUACUCAUACACCGAUAUACACACUACCUACCAGGUAGGAACGUCCAAUCAUUUAUUCAUUCUUGUUUAAAAUUGCUUCAGUUGUGUGAUAUGAAUAUUAAAUAACCUUGAU
RNAcentral lists this long non-coding RNA (1666 nucleotides) under Rattus norvegicus (Norway rat). RNAcentral's name for it is "long non-coding RNA NONRATT009953". Lineage: Eukaryota; Metazoa; Chordata; Mammalia; Rodentia; Muridae. The record is from RNAcentral.